This 497-nucleotide ribosomal RNA is filed under the name uncultured bacterium. RNAcentral's name for it is "partial 16S ribosomal RNA". It matches the Rfam family "Bacterial small subunit ribosomal RNA", at positions 28 to 507 of the family's 1533-position model. The record is from RNAcentral.
GACGAACGCUGGCGGCGUGCCUAAUACAUGCAAGUUGAGCGCUGAAGGUUGGUACUUGUACCAACUGGAUGAGCAGCGAACGGGUGAGUAACGCGUGGGGAAUCUGCCUUUGAGCGGGGGACAACAUUUGGAAACGAAUGCUAAUACCGCAUAAAAACUUUAAACACAAGUUUUAAGUUUGAAAGAUGCAAUUGCAUCACUCAAAGAUGAUCCCGCGUUGUAUUAGCUAGUUGGUGAGGUAAAGGCUCACCAAGGCGAUGAUACAUAGCCGACCUGAGAGGGUGAUCGGCCACAUUGGGACUGAGACACGGCCCAAACUCCUACGGGAGGCAGCAGUAGGGAAUCUUCGGCAAUGGACGAAAGUCUGACCGAGCAACGCCGCGUGAGUGAAGAAGGUUUUCGGAUCGUAAAACUCUGUUGGAAGAGAAGAACGUUGGUGAGAGUGGAAAGCUCAUCAAGUGACGGUAACUACCCAGAAAGGGACGGCUAACUACGUG